RNAcentral lists this ribosomal RNA (460 nucleotides) under uncultured bacterium. RNAcentral's name for it is "partial 16S ribosomal RNA". It matches the Rfam family "Bacterial small subunit ribosomal RNA", at positions 338 to 795 of the family's 1533-position model. The record is from RNAcentral.
UCUACGGGUGGCAGCAGUGAGGAAUAUUGGUCAAUGGGCGCGAGCCUGAACCAGCCAAGUAGCGUGAAGGAUGACUGCCCUACGGGUUGUAAACUUCUUUUAUAAAGGAAUAAAGUGAGGCACGUGUGCCUUUUUGUAUGUACUUUAUGAAUAAGGAUCGGCUAACUCCGUGCCAGCAGCCGCGGUAAUACGGAGGAUCCGAGCGUUAUCCGGAUUUAUUGGGUUUAAAGGGAGCGUAGAUGGGUUGUUAAGUCAGUUGUGAAAGUGUGCGGCUUAACCGUAAAAUUGCAAUUGAUACUGGCAGCCUUGAGUACAGUUGAGGUAGGCGGAAUAAGUUAAGUAGCGGUGAAAUGCUUAGAUAUAACUUAGAACCCCGAUAGCGAAGGCAGCUUACCAGACUGUUACUGACGCUGAAGCACGAGAGCGUGGGUAGCGAACAGGAUUAGAUACCCCUGUAGUC